UUCACCUCUAUGAGAACAGUGUAUACUGGGCUCAGUUCACAGAGGUUCUCUUUAUUCCUUCUUUUUCUCUUCACCUCUAUGGGAACAGUGUAUACUGGGCUCAGUUCACAGAGGUUCUCUUUAUUCCUUCUUUUUCUCUUCACCUCUAUGGGAACAGUGUAUACUGGGCUCAGUUCACAGAGGUUCUCUUUAUUUCUUUCGGAGCUACCUGCUUCGCUUUAAUCACUCCACCUCGUUGGUCGUGUCACCACGAGGCUGUCUUUCUUUUUUUCUCUCUCUCACUUUCGUCACACAAAAAAAAAAAAAAAAACUUUCUAUCGUUUCUAGCGACCAGAGGGGGAAACCUUUUCCCUUCUAACUUCGCUUACCUUUUUUAUGUAGCCUUUAUUGGUUGGUUCUCACAGUUUACAAAUCAUUAAUCCUGCUAUAAUUAUUAUUAUUAUUUUCUUUCACUUCGUUUACUUUGCUCGCGCUCCGCUUGCCGCGAGUCAUUUAGUUCUUUCCAGCGCUGACGUCAUCGGCUCGUCCCCGGUGGCGCAGUGUGUAGGCCGGGGUCUCUGUGCCUCAGAGCCCAUUCUCGCGGGUGUUCAAACCCCGCUCUCGGCGAUUUUUAUUUUUAACUUUUUUCAAACCUUAUACUGUCGCUUUGUGUCUUCAUUUCUUUCAUUUCGCCACAGUAAAACAGUUCUUUCUACUCUUACACUUUAGUUUGUUUAAUUAUUCGGUGUUCUAUACCCUGCCCCCUGUGUUAAAGCACCUACAGUCACUAAUCACUCAUAGCCCUCUAGAGUGUUGUGGUCUACUCAUUGGCCCUUCACACAAACGGUCUGGGUUCAAAUCCAGCUCAAUGCAAUUCUCCCAUAUUUGCUUUUGAGUUCAUCCUGGUGCUAUAUUUCACCAGGUUAAAUACAAUCUGAGACAGCUAUCUGGAUCUUACCUUUAGGGUAGCUGUCUCAUUACA
Long non-coding RNA from Astyanax mexicanus (Mexican tetra), 961 nucleotides. RefSeq lists it as uncharacterized. The record is from RefSeq and is a predicted model, not a curated record. NCBI's taxonomy places the organism in Eukaryota, Metazoa, Chordata, Actinopteri, Characiformes, Acestrorhamphidae. The transcript has 2 exons.